RNAcentral lists this ribosomal RNA (236 nucleotides) under uncultured Actinomycetales bacterium. RNAcentral's name for it is "partial 16S ribosomal RNA". It matches the Rfam family "Bacterial small subunit ribosomal RNA", at positions 97 to 334 of the family's 1533-position model. Lineage: Bacteria; Bacillati; Actinomycetota; Actinomycetes; Actinomycetales. The record is from RNAcentral.
GGCGAACGGGUGAGUAACACGUGAGUAACCUGCCCUUGACUUUGGGAUAACUUCAGGAAACUGGGGCUAAUACCGGAUAGGAGCUCCUGCUGCAUGGUGGGGGUUGGAAAGUUUCGGCGGUUGGGGAUGGACUCGCGGCUUAUCAGCUUGUUGGUGGGGCAGUGGCUUACCAAGGCGGCGACGGGUAGCCGGCCUGAGAGGGUGGACGGCCACAUUGGGACUGAGAUACGGCCCAG